GACGAACGCUGGCGGCGUGCUUAACACAUGCAAGUCGAACGGAAAUGCCCUGCGUUUGUGUGGUGCUCGAGUGGCGAACGGGUGAGUAACACGUGAGUAACCUGCCCUUGACUUUGGGAUAACUUCAGGAAACUCGGGCUAAUACCCGAUAGUAGCUCCUGCUGCAUGGUGGGGGUUGGAAAGUUUCGGCGGUUGGGGAUGGACUCGCGGCUUAUCAGCUUGUUGCUGGGGUAGUGGCUUACCAAGGCUUUGACGGGUAGCCGGCCUGAGAGGGUGACCGGCCACAUUGGGACUGAGAUACGGCCCAGACUCCUACGGGAGGCAGCAGUGGGGAAUAUUGCACAAUGGGCGGAAGCCUGAUGCAGCAACGCCGCGUGCGGGAUGACGGCCUUCGGGUUGUAAACCGCUUUCGCCUGUGACGAAGCGUGAGUGACGGUAAUGGGUAAAGAAGCACCGGCUAACUACGUG
This 468-nucleotide ribosomal RNA is filed under the name uncultured bacterium. RNAcentral's name for it is "partial 16S ribosomal RNA". It matches the Rfam family "Bacterial small subunit ribosomal RNA", at positions 28 to 507 of the family's 1533-position model. The record is from RNAcentral.